CCUACGGGAGGCUGCAGUGGGGAAUAUUGCACAAUGGGGGAAACCCUGAUGCAGCGACGCCGCGUGAGUGAAGAAGUAAUUCGUUACGUAAAGCUCUAUCAGCAGGGAAGAAAUACUGACCUUACGGUCAGCAGACGGUACCUGAGUAAGAAGCCCCGGCUAACUACGUGCCAGCAGCCGCGGUAAUACGUAGGGGGCAAGCGUUAUCCGGAAUUACUGGGUGUAAAGGGAGCGUAGACGGUGAUGCAAGUCUGGCGUGAAAGGCGGGGGCCCAACCCCCGGACUGCUCUGGAAACUGUGUGACUUGAGUGCAGGAGAGGUAAGCGGAAUUCCUAGUGUAGCGGUGAAAUGCGUAGAUAUUAGGAGGAACACCAGUGGCGAAGGCGGCUUACUGGACUGUAACUGACGUUGAGGCUCGAAAGCGUGGGGAGCAAACAGGAUUAGAUACCCUGGUAGUC
This 458-nucleotide ribosomal RNA is filed under the name uncultured bacterium. RNAcentral's name for it is "partial 16S ribosomal RNA". It matches the Rfam family "Bacterial small subunit ribosomal RNA", at positions 338 to 795 of the family's 1533-position model. The record is from RNAcentral.